ACAGUUCUACUGGCUGGUUUUGCCGGCUGUAGACUGAAUAAAUAUAGACAACUCUCAACAACGGAUAUCUUGGCUCCCGUAACGAUGAAGAACGCAGCGAAAUGCGAUACGUAGUGUGAAUUGCAGAAUUCCGUGAACCAUCGAAUCUUUGAACGCAAAUUGCGCUCGAGGCCUCGGCCAAGAGCAUGUCUGCCUCAGCGUCG
RNAcentral lists this ribosomal RNA (203 nucleotides) under Trebouxia jamesii. RNAcentral's name for it is "5.8S ribosomal RNA". The stretch from base 50 to 203 matches the Rfam family "5.8S ribosomal RNA". Rfam says of the family: 5.8S ribosomal RNA (5.8S rRNA) is a component of the large subunit of the eukaryotic ribosome. It is transcribed by RNA polymerase I as part of the 45S precursor that also contains 18S and 28S rRNA. The record is from RNAcentral. Lineage: Eukaryota; Viridiplantae; Chlorophyta; Trebouxiophyceae; Trebouxiales; Trebouxiaceae.